RNAcentral lists this ribosomal RNA (2904 nucleotides) under Escherichia coli. RNAcentral describes it as "23S ribosomal RNA". It matches the Rfam family "Bacterial large subunit ribosomal RNA". The record is from RNAcentral. Lineage: Bacteria; Pseudomonadati; Pseudomonadota; Gammaproteobacteria; Enterobacterales; Enterobacteriaceae.
GGUUAAGCGACUAAGCGUACACGGUGGAUGCCCUGGCAGUCAGAGGCGAUGAAGGACGUGCUAAUCUGCGAUAAGCGUCGGUAAGGUGAUAUGAACCGUUAUAACCGGCGAUUUCCGAAUGGGGAAACCCAGUGUGAUUCGUCACACUAUCAUUAACUGAAUCCAUAGGUUAAUGAGGCGAACCGGGGGAACUGAAACAUCUAAGUACCCCGAGGAAAAGAAAUCAACCGAGAUUCCCCCAGUAGCGGCGAGCGAACGGGGAGCAGCCCAGAGCCUGAAUCAGUGUGUGUGUUAGUGGAAGCGUCUGGAAAGGCGCGCGAUACAGGGUGACAGCCCCGUACACAAAAAUGCACAUACUGUGAGCUCGAUGAGUAGGGCGGGACACGUGGUAUCCUGUCUGAAUAUGGGGGGACCAUCCUCCAAGGCUAAAUACUCCUGACUGACCGAUAGUGAACCAGUACCGUGAGGGAAAGGCGAAAAGAACCCCGGCGAGGGGAGUGAAAAAGAACCUGAAACCGUGUACGUACAAGCAGUGGGAGCCUCUUAAUGGGGUGACUGCGUACCUUUUGUAUAAUGGGUCAGCGACUUAUAUUCUGUAGCAAGGUUAACCGAAUAGGGGAGCCGAAGGGAAACCGAGUCUUAACUGGGCGUUAAGUUGCAGGGUAUAGACCCGAAACCCGGUGAUCUAGCCAUGGGCAGGUUGAAGGUUGGGUAACACUAACUGGAGGACCGAACCGACUAAUGUUGAAAAAUUAGCGGAUGACUUGUGGCUGGGGGUGAAAGGCCAAUCAAACCGGGAGAUAGCUGGUUCUCCCCGAAAGCUAUUUAGGUAGCGCCUCGUGAAUUCAUCUCCGGGGGUAGAGCACUGUUUCGGCAAGGGGGUCAUCCCGACUUACCAACCCGAUGCAAACUGCGAAUACCGGAGAAUGUUAUCACGGGAGACACACGGCGGGUGCUAACGUCCGUCGUGAAGAGGGAAACAACCCAGACCGCCAGCUAAGGUCCCAAAGUCAUGGUUAAGUGGGAAACGAUGUGGGAAGGCCCAGACAGCCAGGAUGUUGGCUUAGAAGCAGCCAUCAUUUAAAGAAAGCGUAAUAGCUCACUGGUCGAGUCGGCCUGCGCGGAAGAUGUAACGGGGCUAAACCAUGCACCGAAGCUGCGGCAGCGACGCUUAUGCGUUGUUGGGUAGGGGAGCGUUCUGUAAGCCUGCGAAGGUGUGCUGUGAGGCAUGCUGGAGGUAUCAGAAGUGCGAAUGCUGACAUAAGUAACGAUAAAGCGGGUGAAAAGCCCGCUCGCCGGAAGACCAAGGGUUCCUGUCCAACGUUAAUCGGGGCAGGGUGAGUCGACCCCUAAGGCGAGGCCGAAAGGCGUAGUCGAUGGGAAACAGGUUAAUAUUCCUGUACUUGGUGUUACUGCGAAGGGGGGACGGAGAAGGCUAUGUUGGCCGGGCGACGGUUGUCCCGGUUUAAGCGUGUAGGCUGGUUUUCCAGGCAAAUCCGGAAAAUCAAGGCUGAGGCGUGAUGACGAGGCACUACGGUGCUGAAGCAACAAAUGCCCUGCUUCCAGGAAAAGCCUCUAAGCAUCAGGUAACAUCAAAUCGUACCCCAAACCGACACAGGUGGUCAGGUAGAGAAUACCAAGGCGCUUGAGAGAACUCGGGUGAAGGAACUAGGCAAAAUGGUGCCGUAACUUCGGGAGAAGGCACGCUGAUAUGUAGGUGAAGUCCCUUGCGGAUGGAGCUGAAAUCAGUCGAAGAUACCAGCUGGCUGCAACUGUUUAUUAAAAACACAGCACUGUGCAAACACGAAAGUGGACGUAUACGGUGUGACGCCUGCCCGGUGCCGGAAGGUUAAUUGAUGGGGUUAGCGGUAACGCGAAGCUCUUGAUCGAAGCCCCGGUAAACGGCGGCCGUAACUAUAACGGUCCUAAGGUAGCGAAAUUCCUUGUCGGGUAAGUUCCGACCUGCACGAAUGGCGUAAUGAUGGCCGGGCUGUCUCCACCCGAGACUCAGUGAAAUUGAACUCGCUGUGAAGAUGCAGUGUACCCGCGGCAAGACGGAAAGACCCCGUGAACCUUUACUAUAGCUUGACACUGAACAUUGAGCCUUGAUGUGUAGGAUAGGUGGGAGGCUUUGAAGUGUGGACGCCAGUCUGCAUGGAGCCGACCUUGAAAUACCACCCUUUAAUGUUUGAUGUUCUAACGUUGGCCCCUAAUCGGGGUUGCGGACAGUGUCUGGUGGGUAGUUUGACUGGGGCGGUCUCCUCCUAAAGAGUAACGGAGGAGCACGAAGGUUGGCUAAUCCUGGUCGGACAUCAGGAGGUUAGUGCAAUGGCAUAAGCCAGCUUGACUGCGAGCGUGACGGCGCGAGCAGGUGCGAAAGCAGGUCAUAGUGAUCCGGUGGUUCUGAAUGGAAGGGCCAUCGCUCAACGGAUAAAAGGUACUCCGGGGAUAACAGGCUGAUACCGCCCAAGAGUUCAUAUCGACGGCGGUGUUUGGCACCUCGAUGUCGGCUCAUCACAUCCUGGGGCUGAAGUAGGUCCCAAGGGUAUGGCUGUUCGCCAUUUAAAGUGGUACGCGAGCUGGGUUUAGAACGUCGUGAGACAGUUCGGUCCCUAUCUGCCGUGGGCGCUGGAGAACUGAGGGGGCUGCUCCUAGUACGAGAGGACCGGAGUGGACGCAUCACUGGUGUUCGGGUUGUCAUGCCAAUGGCACUGCCCGGUAGCUAAAUGCGGAAGAGAUAAGUGCUGAAAGCAUCUAAGCACGAAACUUGCCCCGAGAUGAGUUCUCCCUGACUCCCUGAGAGUCCUGAAGGAACGUUGAAGACGACGACGUUGAUAGGCCGGGUGUGUAAGCGCAGCGAUGCGUUGAGCUAACCGGUACUAAUGAACCGUGAGGCUUAACCUU